This is a long non-coding RNA of Ornithorhynchus anatinus (platypus), 611 nucleotides long. RefSeq lists it as uncharacterized. NCBI's taxonomy places the organism in Eukaryota, Metazoa, Chordata, Mammalia, Monotremata, Ornithorhynchidae. The transcript is spliced from 2 exons. The record is from RefSeq and is a predicted model, not a curated record.
UCAUCGUGCAUCAUCAUCGAUUUCCUGAGCCGACAGGACCGCUGGUGAGGGGCAGCGGGACGCGGUGUUAUUUUCUUCUGGUCCCAGCAGAUGGCAAUGGAGAAAUGCAAUUUCUGGUACCUGAAGAAUGUGAGACUCUGAUGAUGUGCAAAAAGGAAAAAAUAAAAAAAUAAAAAGAAGAAAAGCAGAACCAGGAGAAAAACGUAUUCAAUUUACCAGAGGAGACCUACACGAGAGAGACCGCAUCGGGGAAACGCGACGGUCCGGGGGAGAGAGGAGAGAACGUACGUCCUAACCGUCCCUCAUCUCCGUGCGGUAACUCGGCGAGAAGUUAACGGCUCACAGCAGAGCGAGGGGACCUCGAGGAGCCACGGAAAAGGUGCCCUCGUCGCAGACACGAGAGGAUGGAUUUCUCAGAUCUCCAAGGGACCGAGGACCAUCAUUUUCCCUUGGAAGUCAUCACUGUGGUGUCACAGAGAGAAGAUUGUGACUUCAUGAUUAAGAGCAGAAACAGAAGAAGGCCCCAAAAUCUCAUUUUCUGGAAUGACUCGAGUAUUGGAUCAGAAGAGAAAUAAGAAAACAGUCGAUCGUUAAACAGAAUGAUUUCUAAA